This 2250-nucleotide long non-coding RNA is filed under the name Theobroma cacao (cacao). Its description in RNAcentral is "long non-coding RNA (TCAC_LNC004783)". The record is from RNAcentral. Lineage: Eukaryota; Viridiplantae; Streptophyta; Magnoliopsida; Malvales; Malvaceae.
UACCAGUACUACUAAUUAUUUCAGAACCAUUCAUUUAAUUUGCAUAUCGCAUUUUUGCUGUAACUAGGAACGAAAUACAGUGUAACCUCCCCAUCUACUAGGAUUUGCUUGGUUGACGUUGGAAUCUGUGCAGAAAGCAGAGCAGGAAAAGGCGCCACUGCCCAUAACACAGUCAAAGAGGCAUCAUCAGAAUCUCGGAUGCAGAGGCAUCAAGUCAGGACUACCUUGGCAGCUCCAUGCCAACAAUUUUUUUUUCUUUCUUUCUGGGUCUUAACGCGUGGGCCAUGAAUCAGCAAGAGCAGUGCGGCUUGUGCCACAGAAAAUGAUUGGAUGGAUUUCCUACAGCAAGAGUGGGUUUUAAUUUAGACAGCUGAGAAAAUUGAAUUCAAUUGGAAGCACUGUUUCAUAGCAUCGUCCAAGGUGGGUUCAGCUUCAGCUGCACGGCAGACGGCAGUGCAACAAAGUAAGCAUGAUUAGGUUUGUGACAGGUUGUGGAGAGCAACUUUUUGUGGACUUUGAUUCCCAGCACUAACAUACUUGGUAAGGUAUGCUUUUUAUUUUUGGGUGAAUGUUAGAUCUUGAUUCCUCCUACCAUUAGCCUAGCCUUAUCGAAUAUUCAAGGGAGGACAAAACCCGAGGGCCCUACAAUUCUUUUUCCCCAUCAUCUCUUUGAGUCCAAAGCCUCUGACAUGCAUAACAACACAAGCAUACAUACAUACCUUUUGUAGUCUAUAAAAAAGAAAUCCCAAACUAUUGAAAGGUGCUGGCAGAGCCAGAGUGUAUUCUUUUUCUUAGUUUCUUCUUCGUCGUCUUCUUUUUUUGUUUUUUUGAGGAUAAAUUUCCGGGGGAAAUGAAGAACAAAGUUGAGAGGCAUCAGCAAGGGUUAUAGUAUUGCAACAAAGUGUCUGCAAAUUUACAUUCGUCCAAUCAUUUGCUUUUGAAUACAAUUUCAUCAUCAUCCACAUCAAAUGCUGGGUUACAGAGGCAUCUGAAGAGUCUCCCAAUACCCUGCCAGAUAAGUGAUCACCCAUAAAUAUCAAAAUGGGUAUCAAAAGUGUCAAUUAAAUGGAUCUGUAAAAUUCCUAUUAAGAAAGAUUAUUACCUAAAAUUUUACACCAAUGAUAAUCAUCCAUAAAUAUAAUUCAGCAUGCAUGUGUCAAACUUAAAAAAAGAAUAAGCUUUCAUAUUCAUUUUAUAUAAUAUUUUCUUGUGAAGAGUUUGGAACAUGCCUGGGUGAGAAAAGGAGUUCGGUAUGAAAGCGCUCUGGGCGACUCCUCUUCACUGCUGCUGUCGGAACUGCUUCCAUCAUCAUCAUCAUCAUAAGCAUCUAUUUCAGCCACAUUUUUCCUCCUUGAUGUUCCACCAUUUUGAGCUCGUUGUUCCUGAUGAAAUAACAUUCCAAUGCAUAAAUCUCCUUUGACUUGUUCCAAAUGAUAGAUCAUGACUGACUACUUUCAUGUUGUGCAUUCUUGGCACAUAUGUUAGGCUUCCAACCAUCGUCCCAAGCUACUAAUCUGUUAUAUAAACAAAUGAAACGUUUCUCCUGCCAGGAAGAGAACCCAAAAAAAGGAAAGAAAACAGGCAUAUGACAAUUGAAACCCCAUAAACAUCUAGGCUUUGCCUCCCUUUCCACUUUCUUCUUCUUCUUCUUCUUCAGUUUGAGCUCAACCAAAUUAGUCAGUACAGUAAAUGUUUAAUAUCUAGACAUUUAGCUUCGAUAAGCAUACAAAUAAAAUAAUGGAAUAUCAAAUUAGAGUCAUGUUAGAUAAAAAUUCAGACUUGGUCUCUUUAGCCAAUUUAAUGAAUUUUGCACCUGGAAUAUCUUCCCAAGAACUUUCAGAGCCAGAGCUCUAGCUUUGAGUUCCUCCUUCUUGACAUUAUUUUCCCGCAACACCUGUAAACCGAUUUUUAGAAAUAUAAGAGAACCCAUAAUUUAUAAUAAUAAGACAGGCAACUUCAACAAAAGCCUUAACCAAAUUCCCAGCCUCUAAACGAACUAGAGAUAGAAAAGACACCUGCUCUAUGAUAUGAAUGACUAUCCUACGAAACAGGAAUCACUUGAGAAACUCACCAUUUGGCACACAUGAACGAGGGUUACUUCAAUAUCCACCACAUUCAAUUUCCAUAAUGAGCUCACCAAAGUUUCUUUGUUUAACCGUACGUGUGAUUCGACAUCAUUUUCAGGUCCACUACCAUCCUUUUUAAAUUGCUGGCGCAUAUCUUCUUGAAGUUGCAGUAGCUGAAAAGCAC